CCUACGGGAGGCAGCAGUGGGGAAUAUUGCACAAUGGGGGAAACCCUGAUGCAGCCAUGCCGCGUGUGUGAAGAAGGCCUUCGGGUUGUAAAGCACUUUCAGUCGUGAGGAAAGGUUAGUAGUUAAUACCUGCUAGCUGUGACGUUAGCGACAGAAGAAGCACCGGCUAACUCCGUGCCAGCAGCCGCGGUAAU
This 194-nucleotide ribosomal RNA is filed under the name uncultured marine gamma proteobacterium MBE11. RNAcentral's name for it is "partial 16S ribosomal RNA". It matches the Rfam family "Bacterial small subunit ribosomal RNA", at positions 338 to 524 of the family's 1533-position model. Lineage: Bacteria; Pseudomonadati; Pseudomonadota; Gammaproteobacteria. The record is from RNAcentral.